Molecule: ribosomal RNA, 251 nt
Filed under: uncultured prokaryote
Description: partial 16S rRNA
Rfam family: Bacterial small subunit ribosomal RNA
Source: RNAcentral
ACGGAGGGUGCAAGCGUUGUUCGGAAUUACUGGGCGUAAAGCGCGUGUAGGCGGACUCAGAAGUCGGGUGUGAAAGCCCCGGGCUUAACUCGGGAAGUGCGCUCGAAACCAUGGGUCUUGAGAACCGGAGGGGGUCGGGGAAUUCCCAGUGUAGGGGUGAAAGGCGUAGAUAUCAGGAGGAACACCGGUGGCGAAGGCGGCCACCUGGACGGGCUUUGACGCUGAGGUGCGAAAGUGUGGGGAGCAAACAG